UUAGGUGGCUAUAGCAGUGGGGUCCCACCUCUUCCCAUCCCGAACAGAGAAGUUAAGCCCACUAGCGCCAAUGGUACUGUGAAAACGGGAGAGUAGGUCGCUGCCUUUC
This 109-nucleotide ribosomal RNA is filed under the name Bacteroidota bacterium. Lineage: Bacteria; Pseudomonadati; Bacteroidota. The record is from RNAcentral.